GCCUGGGUGGCUCAGUGGUUGAGCAUCUGCCUUUGGCUCAGGUCAUGGUCCUGGGGUCGUGGGAUUGAGUCCCGCAUCAGGCU
Molecule: transfer RNA, 83 nt
Filed under: Canis lupus familiaris (dog)
Lineage: Eukaryota; Metazoa; Chordata; Mammalia; Carnivora; Canidae
Also listed under: 1 other name
Rfam family: tRNA
About the family: Transfer RNA (tRNA) molecules are approximately 80 nucleotides in length. Their secondary structure includes four short double-helical elements and three loops (D, anti-codon, and T loops).
Source: Rfam by way of RNAcentral